AUUACUUCUGUGUAAUGCGAUGAGAGGACGGAGAAGGCUAAAUCAGCCUGGCGUUGGUUGUCCAGGUGAAAGGAUGUAGGCAUGUAUCUUAGGCAAAUCCGGGGUACUCUAUGCUGAGAUCUGAUAGCAAGCUGUACUUGUACAGCGAAGUGGUUGAUGCCAUGCUUCCAGGAAAAGUCUCUAAGCUUCAGUUACACAGGAAUCG
This 205-nucleotide ribosomal RNA is filed under the name Acinetobacter baumannii. RNAcentral describes it as "partial 23S ribosomal RNA". It matches the Rfam family "Bacterial large subunit ribosomal RNA", at positions 1440 to 1644 of the family's 2925-position model. RNAcentral also lists the same sequence under 1 other name. The record is from RNAcentral. Lineage: Bacteria; Pseudomonadati; Pseudomonadota; Gammaproteobacteria; Moraxellales; Moraxellaceae.